RNAcentral lists this unclassified non-coding RNA (399 nucleotides) under uncultured fungus. Its description in RNAcentral is "sequence contains ITS1". The stretch from base 1 to 104 matches the Rfam family "5.8S ribosomal RNA", at positions 50 to 154 of the family's 154-position model. Lineage: Eukaryota; Fungi. The record is from RNAcentral.
GAAAUGCGAUAAGUAGUGUGAAUUGCAGAAUUCAGUGAAUCAUCGAAUCUUUGAACGCACAUUGCGCUCUUCGGUAUUCCGAAGAGCAUGCCUGCUUGAUACCUGGAACAAAAAUGAAGGGAGGACCUCUGGUUCUGUCUUCACAUCUGGACGCAUUAUUUCUCAUGGCUAGCUCCUCGAGUCGUCCUAAAAUCAAGACGGACCGAUGCACGUCGAACUCGGCUCGCCUGGCGAAUGAUAAUACGUACCGUGGUCUUCGUGACCGUGCUACUAGUUUUUUUUCAUCCAGCCAGGCGUUUCUCACGCCGGGGCUUGACGCUUCGUCCUAUUGGUGUUCCACCAAGCUUCUACAUCUGUUUGCUGGGUAUCAAAUCAGGUAGGAUUACCCGCUGAACUUAA